AGUUCUCAUGUGCAAAUAUGUCACCAUAAGCCAGCGUUCCUUUCUCCUACCAUUUUCUCAGACCGACCACUGCCUCACUGCGUUCGCCUGUCACUGCGGAGAAUGAAGCCACUGCACUUCAUCCCGACCACUCCCAGAAUGCACACAGCUAACAUUCAGAAAACCCACAUGAAACAGAUGUUUAUGGAAGCUUGUGAAGCCACUGAGUGAAAGACAGACUCAAGGAACUCAGAGGACCUCUGAGGCCACUGGGAAAAAUAAACAUUGCCACCAGACAGCCACCUCCACAGUGUCCACUUAUGAUGCAAGGGAUCCUGGCUGGGACAGCCUAACAAGUCCAGGAAGGCUGGAGCAGAAAGAGACCUUUGAGCACCUCAUAUAAAAGACACAGCAACUAAGAACCUCUGGGGUAAAAGAAAAAAAUGGGAUGUCACCCAUGGAAAUAAAGAUGCAAAACCACAAAUAAAAGUGUAGGUCUCUUAAGAAA
Non-coding RNA from Rattus norvegicus (Norway rat), 487 nucleotides. Lineage: Eukaryota; Metazoa; Chordata; Mammalia; Rodentia; Muridae. The record is from RefSeq and is a predicted model, not a curated record.